Corchorus capsularis is the source of this 46-nucleotide non-coding RNA. Lineage: Eukaryota; Viridiplantae; Streptophyta; Magnoliopsida; Malvales; Malvaceae. The record is from Rfam.
CAAAAGGAGUUUUUAGACUCCAUAUAUAAAAAACUGAGUUCUUCAU